This 969-nucleotide small RNA is filed under the name Gallid alphaherpesvirus 2. RNAcentral's name for it is "latency associated transcript 15 non-coding RNA". The record is from RNAcentral. Lineage: Duplodnaviria; Heunggongvirae; Peploviricota; Herviviricetes; Herpesvirales; Orthoherpesviridae.
GAACUCGAUUCCGAUUACCGCAGGUCUCUCGGACUAGUUGAGAGGACGGGAACUGGGCCAUGGGAUGUGUUGAAUCUGUGGAUAGCUUCUACUAUCUCUGGACUAUCCGUCAUAGGGGGACGUGUCCGCAAGGCCAGAGGAGGAUGUCACCUGAAUAUCAUUGCGUUGGACGGCUCGGCCGGACUUGGGAGGACGCCCACGUGGGCGUCCUCCCCCACGCCUGUUUGCGGUUUCUUGGGGUAAGUAGUCCUCAUCUUCCAGUUUACGCGUUCGGGGCGAUGUUUUUCUCCCCUUAGACUGCGGUCCGGAUCGCCCACCACGAUUACUACCUCUGCCCCGACGCGGGCGGCUCGAACAAUCAGCCCGCGGUCUGGGGGGCGACGGAGAUGGUGACCUAGAUGAUGAAGGUGAAGACGGGACGAUUAGAGAAGAUGAUGACGGUGAGGAUGAUGAAGAGGAGGAAGAUGAAGAGGAUGGCGAUCUGGAAACAUGUCCGACGUUCCGUCUCAGGGCCGCGUGGUCUGGGGGAACUUCGUGGAGAUGAGGUUGUGUGAGGCAGUUCGCUCAUUCUGCCAGAAGAUGGAGUAGUCAGCCGUGGACCUGAGGUGAGUGGUGCAGGCAUUUAAAGUCUUUCCAUGCCAAACCGGUCCAGGGAUUGGUGCUUCCAUCUCGGCCGUCCACCCAGGUAAUCUCGGGCAAUGGGAACAGCAAUCACUUUCGAAUUCCUUCAGCCCAAAGCACAACCGCGGGUCCACCGGGACUCUCCGACAUAGCUCGAGCCAAAAGGGAAUUGUAGCCCAGGAAGGGCGGUGCAUAUCUGCAAGUAAACAAAACUCGGGGUUCUGUACGAUUGGCCGGGGUCUUACAUGCUCGCCGAAUUGGAUUUGAGAAUCAAUCUUCCGACGGGUCUCCUGACUUGAACAGGGGAAAGGGGGAGGGGGAGUGUGUUAUCUUGUCGCGAACCAAUAA